GCGUGCUUGUCACAUUGGCCGAUUCAUGUAGAAGUGGUCACGGACUUCAUUUGUCUCUUUAGAGAGAACCAUUUCGUAAACCCUAACACUAGUGUAGCCGUGUAGGUGUCUUAACCUGACCGUGUAGAUAACAAGAGAAAAUGUAUAAUCCAAAAAAGGACAACACACGAAUGCUUUUCAAGGUCGCUGCCAUAUUACACUGUGACACUGCUCUCUAGGUACAUUUUAUUGUCCCUAUUGUGACAGCCUGGCUGACCCAAGCUGAGCCGAUCAGACUCCCGUCUCCCCCAGAAACUUGCAAAGCAGAGCUGAGAAAGCGCCUCUCUUCAGGGGGCCCCACGAGGACGUGCACCUCUGGGGCAGCCUGGCCGUGUUGUCUCCUCUGCUCGGAGACUGAUCUGCUGGUGGGACCAGAGGACAGAGCGCAGGAGGAGCAGAGCCGACAAUCGGGCCGUUCCCAUGCGCCAGCCCCGGGCCCGAUGUUUCCUCCAGCGCACCUGAAACCCUGAAACCAACCUUCCUCUUUCCUUUAGCAGGAGCUUCCCUUCAGGUGGAGUUUGUUUCUUUCAACCACAUUUUUCCAUCAUUUUGCUCCCUGCCUCGCUGAGUAUUUCACUGGAAACCCCAUAACUACAUAUAGAGUCAGCUGAACUUAGAGGUGGGGUGGCUUUAAGAAAGGGUGAUGUAUUAAAAUACAGGUGUACAAACCUGAAAAUUUAACGGAUAAGUAUUCAUUACCUCGAAACAUUGUCUGGUGGCUCUCAGCGGGUUAAGGAUCCAGCGUUGUCACUGCUGUGGCGCUGGUUACCGCUGUGGUGUGGGUUCAGUCCUUGGCUGGGGAACUUGGCGUGCCAUGGGUAUGGCCAAAAAAAGAAAGGGAAACAGCAUGUCCACUGCAGUAAAUGAUGACGCAGCUGUCCAGUGGAGUUGCUGUACAGCUAUAACCAGAAACAAUAGCGUGAAUCUGCAUAUGCCAAUAUGGAAAUAUCUCCAGGAAUAUUAUGGGAAAAAACCGAAUCCACCUACAGCACAGUUUUAUCCCUCUGUGCAUGUGCACUUUGACACGCACAUUCUUGUACCUUUUUUUUUUUAAUUUCCAAGAGACAGCAGGGAAAUGCUCACAAAGGUUACCUUUUGAGAGAGGGACUGGGGAAGAAAGGCGGCUUUCACUUUGUAUUUAUCCUUUCCUUUCUAUUCCUGAUUUACGUUUUGAGUCAUGUGGCCUGGUGUGUGUGUUUCAGUGUGUGGUUAGUGAAAUUAUAAGCUUUAUUCUCUCUAAUACAUUUCUGUACUCUACUAAAAAAAAAAAAAAGACACUAAAAAAUGAAUAGAGAAAGCAGAACCGAGAAAAACGAAUAGCAGAACUGAGAGAACGGAACAGCCAUGGCUACGGAAUGGAUGUCAGGAAAUCAGAUUCAGAGCCCAGAACCCCAGAACCGUUCAGGAAUGUGGAGCACCCGGUGCUCUGAGAAUGUGGGGUGAGACGUGGGGCUGGACAUACAGGAAAUGAUGGAAAAUGUACUUUUAAGAUCCCUCCUGGUCAGCCAAUCACCCCUUCCCGCCGAGAGGGAAGCGCUAGCCUGCGGAGAAAGCCAACCAGACAGUUUCCACACCAGGGCCACCAGGAACAGCAACGAGAGGGGACCAAGAGCUGUGCCUCGAACUGAGAAAUUGACGAGUCGGCUAGCGGCCCCCGGCCCCUCCGCCGUGUAGCUGCGGGAGCAGUGGCAGCCAGGCAGGUUUCUGUCCCGGGAAGAACCUUGAAAGGUUGGCCUCCAGAUCCUAAAUGCCCCUCCCCAGAGAAGAGAGCUCCAGGGGCAACAUUUUGCAUUUUCU
This 1836-nucleotide long non-coding RNA is filed under the name Sus scrofa (pig). RNAcentral describes it as "lncRNA (ENSSSCG00000061753.1)". The record is from RNAcentral. Lineage: Eukaryota; Metazoa; Chordata; Mammalia; Artiodactyla; Suidae.